CCUGGGUUUACAUACUCUCUGUACUACCUUGAACAAAUUAACUUUCCUAAAGUUAUAAAUCUUCUGUGUAAAAUCAGGACAAUUAAGUACCAUAAAGCAGGGGAAAUUAUAUAUAAUUACUCUAUAAAUUCUAGUUAUUAUCACUAUUUUUCAAAUAAAUUUGAAACCAUGUGGCCUCUUGAUAAAGAAAAUUGAAAUUUGAAAAGAAAAUGUUAGUUUCAUAAAUAUAAAAACACUUCUGGACCAUCUCAUACAAAUGUGAAUUUUAUCAGGUUUGAAUUUUAUUCUCUUUUGCUACGGAUACUAUGAUUACAAAGAAAUUUAUAAAAUAUUAUUGCAUACCUAUGUGAUUUGAAAUGCUCAGAAGGAAGGCAGACUCCUUUAAGAAGCAAGUUGGUCUGGGAAUUGUGACUAUUAUAAAUCUGCCAGAGUGAUGUGAUGUCACAAAGAAGUUUCAUGUUAUACCAUCUAUAUAUAAGAAAGGUUGGUUAGAGAAAAAGGUGGAAUAUAAAGACACUCCGGUGCCAUAAGUGAUUUUUUUUUUUUAAAAGAAAGCUUCUAGAAACUUCUAGAAUAUUAGGAGAGAAUCAUUUUGGAUACUUAGAAAAGAAACCAAUGACCCGAGGUUUAUCUGCUUCCUUCAUGAACUUGAAGGAGAGAGUUCAUGGGACAAGAUGGGACACUUGGAAAACCAAAAUAUUUGAGGCUUCAAGAUCUUUCUCCUCCUUUGUCUUUCUAUUACAUUUUUUGUUUCUCCUCUGUCUUCACUAAGGUAAUUAGCAUAUGGGAAAUCUUUCUUGAGAUGAACUAUUAUACAGCAACCUUGAACGUUCUUGUCAAUAAGAACUUAUCUCUUUCUCAGUGUCUCUUAGACCAGAGUACUGUAUAUCAUACACCAGAUCUUGACAGAAUAAUGUGUAUUACAAAACAACUGCAGAAGACUGGCAACAUAAAAUGGCAUUUGACUAGUUUGUUGAUCUGUAUGACAUUUUAUUCGUUGCUUGAAUUUUUUUUCUAACAUUGAAUAGUUAGAAUGAAUUGUACUUGACAUAAGGAUAUAAUAACCCUAUUUGAUUUUUUAAGACCACUUUAUACAGGAUCUAAUUUUCAUAUGACACCAUUGGAAGUAGUUUUUGAAUUACACGUAGUUUUAAAAAAUAUUGAUUCUGGAGAUGAUGAGGGUCUUACCAUAUCCUCCUAUCUGUGAUAAUUCUUAUUUAUAAAAUCUAUACAGCUGCAACAGUUCCAUUCCAGAGUAUGCAUAAGUUUCUUGCAUCUAGGCAUUUUUAGGAAAAAUAAUCUAAAAUUACAAGUUAAAAAUGCAAAUUUAUUUUAAUUCUUGACUAUGCUUUUUAUGUUCUAAAUAUAUUUUGGUAAUUCUUACAGAAAUGUUCCUAUAGAAUUCUAAAUGUGAUCCAAUGAAAUUUAACAUAUUCACCAACAUUCAAACCUACCUACAAUACUCAUAAAAAAUAAAUAAAUCUUAGUGUUGGUUGGAGUUAUUUUU
RNAcentral lists this long non-coding RNA (1507 nucleotides) under Vulpes vulpes (red fox). RNAcentral's name for it is "lncRNA (ENSVVUG00000019096.1)". Lineage: Eukaryota; Metazoa; Chordata; Mammalia; Carnivora; Canidae. The record is from RNAcentral.